UUUCCAGUCAGCUUACUUUUACG
This 23-nucleotide microRNA is filed under the name Heligmosomoides polygyrus. RNAcentral describes it as "hpo-miR-10053-3p". Lineage: Eukaryota; Metazoa; Nematoda; Chromadorea; Rhabditida; Heligmosomidae. The record is from miRBase by way of RNAcentral.